Molecule: ribosomal RNA, 497 nt
Filed under: uncultured bacterium
Lineage: Bacteria
Description: partial 16S ribosomal RNA
Rfam family: Bacterial small subunit ribosomal RNA
Source: RNAcentral
GAUGAACGCUGGCGGCGUGCCUAAUACAUGCCAGUCGAGCGAACAGACGAGGAGCUUGCUCCUCUGACGUUAGCGGCGGACGGGUGAGUAACACGUGGAUAACCUACCUAUAAGACUGGGAUAACUUCGGGAAACCGGAGCUAAUACCGGAUAAUAUAUUGAACCGCAUAGUUCAAUAGUGAAAGACGGUUUUGCUGUCACUUAUAGAUGGAUCCGCGCCGCAUUAGCUAGUUGGUAAGGUAACGGCUUACCAAGGCAACGAUGCGUAGCCGACCUGAGAGGGUGAUCGGCCACACUGGAACUGAGACACGGUCCAGACUCCUACGGGAGGCAGCAGUAGGGAAUCUUCCGCAAUGGGCGAAAGCCUGACGGAGCAACGCCGCGUGAGUGAUGAAGGUCUUCGGAUCGUAAAACUCUGUUAUUAGGGAAGAACAAAUGUGUAAGUAACUAUGCACGUCUUGACGGUACCUAAUCAGAAAGCCACGGCUAACUACGUG